UAUUUGAACCCCAAGAAGAGACGCAAAAAGAACAUACGAAUCCCGUAUGUUCUUUUUGCGUCUCUUUGAUUA
This 72-nucleotide small RNA is filed under the name Paenibacillus sp. P22. Its description in RNAcentral is "ctRNA". The record is from RNAcentral. Lineage: Bacteria; Bacillati; Bacillota; Bacilli; Caryophanales; Paenibacillaceae.